Molecule: non-coding RNA, 73 nt
Organism: Araneus ventricosus
Lineage: Eukaryota; Metazoa; Arthropoda; Arachnida; Araneae; Araneidae
Source: the annotation of a GenBank genome assembly
GCACUCAUAGUGUAGUGGUUAUCACAUCCGCCUGACGUGCGGAAGGUCCCAGGUUCGAUCCCUGUUGGGUACA